Bos taurus (domestic cattle) is the source of this 366-nucleotide long non-coding RNA. The record is from Ensembl. NCBI's taxonomy places the organism in Eukaryota, Metazoa, Chordata, Mammalia, Artiodactyla, Bovidae.
CCAGGAAACCCUCAGCCACGGAGGACUAAGUGACCAUUUCCUGAAUUGGGAAAGACUAUGGGAGGAUGGAACAGCCACUUUGAACCCAGAGUUCAAGGUCAACCUGCCCUUCACUCCUGUGGCCUUUGGAGUUUCUUGUUUUUGACAAGCAGAAGGACUGAAUCGAAUUUGAUGGCUAUGUCACCUUUCUAACUGCCACAGUCUCCUCCAACUUCUUCUUUACAAGCAGUUUCUUGCCGCUUGACUUUCCGAACUCCAUCAGCUGAUCCAGAUACUGAUUCACCAGAUCCUUGUGUCUUCUUCUGCCUUGAUUGCCUUCACUGAAGAGUUGGUUUUCCCAGAUAUGGAAGUUACAUAGUUAUUAGU